Molecule: long non-coding RNA, 1194 nt
Organism: Choloepus didactylus (southern two-toed sloth)
Lineage: Eukaryota; Metazoa; Chordata; Mammalia; Pilosa; Megalonychidae
Exons: 3
Source: RefSeq, a predicted model, not a curated record
UCCAGGCAAGUCCCGAGCGCCUUCGCGGAGUGGCACCGCCUUCUCUGAGAGACGCCCUGUCCGCCUACUCCUAAAGCUUUGGCCCUUGAGGUGAAAUCAGUUUCAGGCUCGGGAAGGGAUGUGCCAAGAGGAUUGGAGAGGGCCUUUAUCUUUUCGCACGGCACUUAGAGAACCUUUGGCAGUGAGCGGGCCACCCAGCGCGCGCGCGGGGACCCUGGUCUGUAUUUCCCCGGAGUCCGAGUUCCGUAGAGGAGGGGGGAGUGCGGAUUAGCCCCGAGGGAUUCGCUGCCCUAGGAGACGCUACUGCUUUCAGCAGCAUGCUAGUUGCCUCGGGGGUGAUAAACACAUACUACCAAGCCCUCCCAAGGAAGAUUCAGAAAGGAUGCGCUUGGGACUGCAACACAUUUUCGCCAGAGGAUCUCCGGGUUGGUUUUUGCUGUUCAACUCUCUCUUUCUAAGGGAAGAAGGGCCUUCGAGUGAUGUAGACGCUCCCACUCCCCUAGUUCUACCCCCACCACCAUUCCAUUGAAAUGGACAGCCUGUCAUCUUUAGGAUUAAUAGGAUUAUAUAGCCGAUCGAAGUGGAGGAAAAAAACCAGGACUUAAGGAAGAGACCAUUUUUUACCCAGUGUUGAAAUAAGGCUGUGGUUCAUCCUUCUCCAAUCCUAUUUGCGAAGCAAUACACCAGAAAAGACUUGGUUGCAACAAGAGUAUGACAACUCAUGGUGAAAGAAAAAACUCACUGGAAGACAAGAAAAUGCCAGUGAAGCAGAUGGUGGCAGCUCUUCCUAAGCGUAUUGAUUUCCCACAGGGAAGUCUCUGGAAGGGGGAGGCAGAAAAUGCAACUUCCUGGAGGGUAUUGCAUUCCCUAGCCUCACCAUCCAGAACUAAACUUAUAUGUGAAACAGAUACAGAAAGGUUGGGUGAGUGCAUGGGGGAGAUACCACUCCUGUGCCAAAAAUGUCAUCCAAUGGGUUUUAACUUAUUUCUUACCACUUCACAUUUAGCAAGAGAAUGUUACCUGAUGUAUUUAAAAAGGGAAAGUGUAUUUACAUCUUGGUGAGUCAAGAAGAGGCAAAGAUUUGCUAUGCUGGAUAAAGGAUCAUAGGAAUAGAGAGGCAUUUCUCUUUUUAUAAGUAUACAGAGCAAGCUUGGUUUGUGUCUGUUUCUCAUCCUAAGUACUGUGGUCUGUUCA